This 58-nucleotide small RNA is filed under the name Oryza sativa Japonica Group (Japanese rice). Its description in RNAcentral is "sRNA Os09g0368101". The record is from RNAcentral. Lineage: Eukaryota; Viridiplantae; Streptophyta; Magnoliopsida; Poales; Poaceae.
GACUGUAGUUUGAUGCAGAGAAAUCCUUAGGUCGCUGGUUCGAAUCCGGCAGGUCGGA